GGUGCGGUAGCUCAGUAGGUAGAGCAGAGGACUGAAAAUCCUUGUGUCGGGGGUUCGAUUCCCUCCCACACCACCU
Molecule: transfer RNA, 76 nt
Filed under: Schleiferia thermophila str. Yellowstone
Lineage: Bacteria; Pseudomonadati; Bacteroidota; Flavobacteriia; Flavobacteriales; Schleiferiaceae
Also listed under: 1 other name
Description: tRNA-Phe
Rfam family: tRNA
About the family: Transfer RNA (tRNA) molecules are approximately 80 nucleotides in length. Their secondary structure includes four short double-helical elements and three loops (D, anti-codon, and T loops).
Source: RNAcentral